CAAAGAUAAAAACGCACCGUGCGCCUGUGGGCGCGCCAGAGCCGGAAGGUAGCCCGGCCGUCUCGCCAUUGGCGAGGUAAGUAACCUGCCCCUCCGGGUUGUCCCUUCUUUGUCCAUC
Molecule: non-coding RNA, 118 nt
Filed under: human gut metagenome
Description: yjdF RNA
Rfam family: azaaromatic riboswitch aptamer (yjdF RNA)
Source: RNAcentral